Molecule: transfer RNA, 73 nt
Filed under: Carnobacterium divergens
Lineage: Bacteria; Bacillati; Bacillota; Bacilli; Lactobacillales; Carnobacteriaceae
Description: tRNA-Ile
Rfam family: tRNA
About the family: Transfer RNA (tRNA) molecules are approximately 80 nucleotides in length. Their secondary structure includes four short double-helical elements and three loops (D, anti-codon, and T loops). Further hydrogen bonds mediate the characteristic L-shaped molecular structure. tRNAs have two regions of fundamental functional importance: the anti-codon, which is responsible for specific mRNA codon recognition, and the 3' end, to which the tRNAs corresponding amino acid is attached (by aminoacyl-tRNA synthetases). tRNAs cope with the degeneracy of the genetic code in two manners: having more than one tRNA (with a specific anti-codon) for a particular amino acid; and 'wobble' base-pairing, i.e. permitting non-standard base-pairing at the 3rd anti-codon position.
Source: RNAcentral
UUCGAAGUAGCUCAGAGACUAGAGCGCAUGGCUGAUAAUCAUGAGGUCAGAGGUUUGAGUCCUCUCUUCGUAG